Molecule: non-coding RNA, 88 nt
Filed under: Candidatus Methylopumilus planktonicus
Lineage: Bacteria; Pseudomonadati; Pseudomonadota; Betaproteobacteria; Nitrosomonadales; Methylophilaceae
Source: RNAcentral
AAUUUGAACUGCGCUGAUUUGAGUGAUAAAGUUAUUUCUCAGCUUGCGGGCGCGUUAAAAAUACAGCUAAAGCGAGGUCUGUCCCGUU